GAGGGCUUCGGUGGUGAACCAGACUCUGGUUCGCGUGCAGCCAGAACAGCUUGCCAACCUUGGUUUUUACGAUUUUUUUUUUUUUCAGCUGCUGAGACAGGAAAUGACGUGAGGCUCUGAACACACUAUUACAGCAAGCAGCUGUUCUGAGAGAACUUUCUGUUUCCAGGCCCGGCACCUCAGAAUGUUGGCUUCUGUGUGGUCGGUUGUUGAAGACCAACUCUGUGCGAGGUGUUAGGUUGAGAAGAGGUGCAGCAGAGGAUGCUGGAGCCGCAGCUGAGGCUUUCCAACACUUGCUGUCAAAUUCGUUGAUGAGUUCCAACUACCCACAGCAACUCCCACUGCAGCCCAGGCUCUAGGAGAACCUCCAAGACCCUGAACUGUCCCUCUAACCCUGUUUGUGAUUCUAUUCUAUCUGAAAACUUCUGUCAUGGGGCUGUAUCCAUCAUCAGGCAGAAAAGUUACAAUCAGUGUCUCCGGCUACAAGGUGUUGAAAGAUUAUCCACCUGGUAUGUCCAUACGCGGCCCAAGGUAUACGUCCCAGAUGUGUCCAUC
This is a long non-coding RNA of Mus musculus (house mouse), 555 nucleotides long. RefSeq annotates it as predicted gene, 54010. The record is from RefSeq and is a predicted model, not a curated record. NCBI's taxonomy places the organism in Eukaryota, Metazoa, Chordata, Mammalia, Rodentia, Muridae. The transcript is spliced from 3 exons.